This is a long non-coding RNA of Jaculus jaculus (lesser Egyptian jerboa), 435 nucleotides long. RefSeq lists it as uncharacterized. Lineage: Eukaryota; Metazoa; Chordata; Mammalia; Rodentia; Dipodidae. The record is from RefSeq and is a predicted model, not a curated record. The transcript has 2 exons.
GGGUCUCCGGGCCUGAGGCGAGGCCCGCCUGGCGCAGUUGGCCCGCAGGGGCGGCGCGGGCUGAGGUAGCGGCUUGAGUGUCCAGCACAUUACAAAAACUUAACAGACUGGAGUGCCACGAACCACCAGACAACCCAUCUACCUACAGCUGGGCGCAGAGCACCCAGCACAGCCGAUCAGGCCAACAGAUCCGGAGACCCAAGAGCCUGACUGAGUCCACAGAAGAAAAGAGAGGGAUCGAGCUGGGCACUCAGCAUUGGUGAGAUUGAAAGCCAUGCCAAAAGAUAACAGGGCCUACUUACAUAAAACCAGGUAUACAGGCCUGCACUGGAAGUGCUGAUCUCACCUUCCAUGUCAGGGCAGGGUAUGUGUUAGAUUUGAUUAUGUAUUAUGGGUCAGCCUUACAUUCUCAAAUAAAUUGUCUUUUGGUGUUGA